UUCAGAUAAAGCCAAAACCACGGGUAACCGGGUGACGGAAAGCCGACGGGUCCUUUAGUAAACAAGAAAUCAUUUUAUGAUUUCGUUAACGCACUUAUCCUGCUUGUCAGGGAAAAAGGAUGGCCGGGCCGCCUGG
This 136-nucleotide non-coding RNA is filed under the name Geobacteraceae bacterium. RNAcentral's name for it is "c-di-GMP sequence". It matches the Rfam family "c-di-GMP-I riboswitch aptamer". Rfam says of the family: GEMM was predicted in a large-scale screen for bacterial structured RNA regulatory elements. Lineage: Bacteria; Pseudomonadati; Thermodesulfobacteriota; Desulfuromonadia; Geobacterales; Geobacteraceae. The record is from RNAcentral.